UGGGGAAUAUUGCACAAUGGACGGAAGUCUGAUGCAGCAACGCCGCGUGCGGGAUGACGGCCUUCGGGUUGUAAACCGCUUUUUCUCAUGACGAAGUUUUUUGACGGUAGUGGGGGAAGAAGCACCGGCUAACUACGUGCCAGCAGCCGCGGUGAUACGUAGGGUGCGAGCGUUGUCCGGAAUUAUUGGGCGUAAAGAGCUUGUAGGCGGUUUGUCGCGUCGAUAGUGCAAACUCAGUGCUUAACGCUGAGCCUUCUGUUGAUACGGGCAGACUAGAGGAAGGUAGGGGAGAAUGGAAUUCCCGUUGGAGCGGUUGAAUGCGCAGAUAUCGGGAGGAACACCGGUGGCGAAGGCGGUUCUCUGGGCCUUUCCUGACGCUGAGAAGCGAAAGCGUGGGGAGCGAACAGG
This 408-nucleotide ribosomal RNA is filed under the name Fusobacteriota bacterium. RNAcentral's name for it is "Fusobacteria bacterium partial 16S ribosomal RNA". It matches the Rfam family "Bacterial small subunit ribosomal RNA", at positions 355 to 776 of the family's 1533-position model. The record is from RNAcentral. Lineage: Bacteria; Fusobacteriati; Fusobacteriota.